Molecule: ribosomal RNA, 497 nt
Filed under: uncultured bacterium
Lineage: Bacteria
Description: partial 16S ribosomal RNA
Rfam family: Bacterial small subunit ribosomal RNA
Source: RNAcentral
GAUGAACGCUGGCGGCGUGCCUAAUACAUGCAAGUCGAGCGAACAGACGAGGAGCUUGCUCCUCUGACGUUAGCGGCGGACGGGUGAGUAACACGUGGAUAACCUACCUAUAAGACUGGGAUAACUUCGGGAAACCGGAGCUAAUACCGGAUAAUAUAUUGAACCGCAUGGUUCAAUAGUGAAAGACGGUUUUGCUGUCACUUAUAGAUGGAUCCGCGCCGCAUUAGCUAGUUGGUAAGGUAACGGCUUACCAAGGCAACGAUGCGUAGCCGACCUGAGAGGGUGAUCGGCCACACGGGAACUGAGACACGGUCCAGACUCCUAAGGGAGGCAGCAGUAGGGAAUCUUCCGCAAAGGGCGAAAGCUUGACGGAGCAACGCCGCGUGAGUGAUGAAGGUCUUCGGAUCGUAAAACUCUGUUAUUAGGGAAGAACAAAUGUGUAAGUAACUAUGCACGUCUUGACGGUACCUAAUCAGAAAGCCACGGCUAACUACGUG